UACGGAGGGUGCAAACGUUGCUCGGAAUCAUUGGGCGUAAAGCGCACGUAGGCGGUCCUUUAAGUCGGGUGUGAAAGCCCUCGGCUCAACCGAGGAAGUGCAUUCGAAACUGGAGGACUUGAAUACUGGAGAGGAUGGCGGAAUUCCCGGUGUAGAGGUGAAAUUCGUAGAUAUCGGGAGGAACACCAGCGGCGAAGGCGGCCAUCUGGACAGAUAUUGACGCUGAGGUGCGAAAGCGUGGGGAGCAAACAGG
RNAcentral lists this ribosomal RNA (253 nucleotides) under uncultured bacterium. RNAcentral describes it as "partial 16S ribosomal RNA". It matches the Rfam family "Bacterial small subunit ribosomal RNA", at positions 524 to 776 of the family's 1533-position model. The record is from RNAcentral.